AACGAACGCUGGCGGCAUGCCUAACACAUGCAAGUCGAACGAGACCUUCGGGUCUAGUGGCGCACGGGUGCGUAACGCGUGGGAAUCUGCCCUCUGGUACGGAAUAACUCAGGGAAACUUGAGCUAAUACCGUAUAAUGACUUCGGUCCAAAGAUUUAUCGCCUGAGGAUGAGCCCGCGUCGGAUUAGCUAGUUGGUGAGGUAAAAGCUCACCAAGGCGACGAUCCGUAGCGGUCUGAGAGGAUGAUCAGCCACACUGGGACUGAGACACGGCCCAGACUCCUACGGGAGGCAGCAGUGGGGAAUAUUGGACAAUGGGCGAAAGCCUGAUCCAGCAAUGCCGCGUGAGUGAUGAAGGCCUUAGGGUUGUAAAGC
RNAcentral lists this ribosomal RNA (374 nucleotides) under uncultured bacterium. RNAcentral describes it as "bacterial SSU rRNA". It matches the Rfam family "Bacterial small subunit ribosomal RNA", at positions 29 to 431 of the family's 1533-position model. The record is from RNAcentral.